This 483-nucleotide ribosomal RNA is filed under the name uncultured bacterium. Its description in RNAcentral is "partial 16S ribosomal RNA". It matches the Rfam family "Bacterial small subunit ribosomal RNA", at positions 30 to 507 of the family's 1533-position model. The record is from RNAcentral.
UUGAACGCUGGCGGCAGGCCUAACACAUGCAAGUCGAGCGGAUGAAGGGAGCUUGCUCCUGGAUUCAGCGGCGGACGGGUGAGUAAUGCCUAGGAAUCUGCCUGGUAGUGGGGGAUAACGUCCGGAAACGGGCGCUAAUACCGCAUACGUCCUGAGGGAGAAAGUGGGGGAUCUUCGGACCUCACGCUAUCAGAUGAGCCUAGGUCGGAUUAGCUAGUUGGUGGGGUAAAGGCCUACCAAGGCGACGAUCCGUAACUGGUCUGAGAGGAUGAUCAGUCACACUGGAACUGAGACACGGUCCAGACUCCUACGGGAGGCAGCAGUGGGGAAUAUUGGACAAAGGGCGAAAGCCUGAUCCAGCCAUGCCGCGUGUGUGAAGAAGGUCUUCGGAUUGUAAAGCACUUUAAGUUGGGAGGAAGGGCAGUAAGUUAAUACCUUGCUGUUUUGACGCUACCAACAGAAUAAGCACCGGCUAACUUCGUG